This 414-nucleotide long non-coding RNA is filed under the name Populus tremula. Its description in RNAcentral is "long non-coding RNA (PTRE_LNC000152)". Lineage: Eukaryota; Viridiplantae; Streptophyta; Magnoliopsida; Malpighiales; Salicaceae. The record is from RNAcentral.
GAGGCUACGAAACCAAACUUAUCUAUCUUUUUAUUAUCAUUAUUUUGUUUUGUUUUUUUGUUUUUUUUUUUUAGAAAUUAUGUACUAUCCAUUUCCCUUAGUUGUUACCUUUAACAAAAGAGCAUAAAUAAUGUAAUAAUCCAAUGUGCAACUCACAAUCAUAUGUUAAAGUGUGUGUGUGAAAAUGAAGAUUUAAAAAUACUUGUUAAAUGAGCAUAUGAGCAGAAUCAAGUGCUACCAAUACGAGAGUUUGUAAACCUAAAUAUUUCAAGAAGUAUUCUGAUAGACCUUGUUAAGAAUGUUUACUAAGAUGCGUCUCAAGAGUCACUUUAACAAAAGAACUCAUUUUACUCUGCCAUCCUAGUACCAACAGUUUUCCAAAUAGUUUAUGAAAUAAAAAACACAGUUUUUUUU